Long non-coding RNA from Felis catus (domestic cat), 3973 nucleotides. RefSeq lists it as uncharacterized. The record is from RefSeq and is a predicted model, not a curated record. The transcript is spliced from 2 exons. NCBI's taxonomy places the organism in Eukaryota, Metazoa, Chordata, Mammalia, Carnivora, Felidae.
GCUUGUUUGCAUUUUUUUUUCUUUUUUGUUAUUGUUAAAUGGUUUGGGGGCAGAACAAUGGGCCAGUUCCCAGCCUCCUUUGGGGAAAAUUUGUGGAAAAGGAGAGAUGAGAGGUAGGGAGAGGCUAGGAUCUCUGGCCAGGGUGCCUGGGGAUUAGGCUUGGGUGUCAGAUAGGCUUGGGGUAUCCUGUGCCCCUCGGACACACAUCGUAGUAAAGCUGUAAAGAGUCUGUUUAGGUAAACACACACUGAGUGCCUACUGUGUGUAUGGGAUACAAAGGCACAGGCAGAAAGCCCAAUCUUGCUUUUAAGAGAUCAAAGGUGAGAGAGAGAGAGAGAGAGAGAGAGAGAGAGAGAGAGAGAGAGAGAGACUUCCAAGUAGUAUAAUAAGUACAAUGGCAGAAAUAGGCAGGGAUCAAGAUGGGGUUUGGCAGGGGGCGGGGGAUGUCAGGAUCCUUCUCUUCCAAGCAGGACUGAGCCUUAGUGUUGAAGGCAGUGAGGGCACCUCUCACCAAACAACCUUCCAAGAAGUCGUAAGACCCAGCGUCACUGCUAAGCCUGUCCCAGCGAUGCCCAGAGCAGGCGGACAGCCUCAGCAGCCACCAUUCGUUCUCUGGGAUCCAAGCCUCAGCCUCUGCAGGGCCAGGAGGCUGGGUCCCUGGGCUGCUUAGCCUCAGGGAGCCUGGCGCUCCCGGGGGAAGGAGCCUGCACUUCCUUGGGGGCACGGAGGUGAUCAGCCUCCUUUUCAUGAAGUGAGGACUUUGAUCUCUCCAACUGGGGAGAAAAAGAGAGCUCUCCUUUUCAACACCUUCCAAUAUUUUCCGCCCUUGCUGUGCCUGGCCCCACUGUCACCUCACCUACAGGGAGACAGGAUGUGUUUCCAGCUGGGCCCUUUCUCCUCAGGAUUUAGACUUGGAGUGAGUGAAGCUUAUGAUACUGAUUGUGGCUGUGGCCGCGUGGCUUAGGUUGCCCUGAAAGGAGCAGGUGGAAGGGGGGGGGGGGGGACAGGGACACGGGGUUCUCCCUUGCUCUGCUCAGGUUUGCCCAGAGGCUGGGGGCUGGGAGAUGUGGGGCUGGGGUAGCUCAGUACGCAGGACUGCAACUCAGCGGGUCAGGCAGGAGUCCAUUGCUUCUGAAAAACCCGUACAAGGCCCAUCUGCCUGUGUCGUUUAACCAUGCCUCUGGGUUUUCAAGCUGGUGGGGUUGUCAUCUCCCCUCUUGACCUCCUGUCCCCUCUCACCAGUUGUUCUAAAUACUAAAUGGUUAAAAAGGAAAAAAAAAAAGAAAAAAAGAAAUCUUGGGCAGGAUGCUCUGAUGUUAAUCUUUCCGGUUUGUGUGUGAAUUCGCCACCUGAACUUGUUUCAGAAUCGGGCAAACCCGAGCAGUCCGUGAACUCUGAACUGAGGGAGGGCAGAAAAACAAAUAGAAUGCUUGCCUCCGUGUGCAACUCAGAAGGCCCAGCCCAUCGGGCUGGAGCGCGCCCUGGAGCCUUUGUUACCCCCAUCCUGACAGCACGUCCUCAGGCAAGCGGCUUUCAGGGACUCACCCCCCCCCCCACCGCCCCCUCCCCCUGCCGCAGAUGCAUGGUGGGGCUGAGGUGCAGGUGUGCUUUGCUUCCCGUGAGAAAGAGUGUGGCACAGCUGGGUGCCAGAAUCUUCUAGAAGUUCUGGGGUUUCCCCAGAAAUGAAAGGAUCUCAGAAGCAACUGGAUUUCGGGUUGCUUUCCCAUCUAUCAGCUCAGUUUCUCUGAAAUUUCCUUUCACACAGAGUCCCAUGCGCAAGCCCCAACCUUGUAGACAGGAAUGUCACAUUUGAUCAUUUUGCCAAGUGAGGAUUCUUGUUGAAAGGUGAAUAAUUACCCCCCAAUUGAUCUCUUUGGAGAAUUCAUAUACAUAUAUGUAUAUACAUGGUCUGUAAACAUACACCUUUUGUGAACAUACAUAACGUGUAAAGAGUUUUACCAAGGACUGAGGCCCCCUAUGUGCAUGGCCCCCCAGGAUGCACAUGCUGUGCCUGGAAGGGUGACCAGCUUGUCCCGGCUUGCUGGGGAAUGUUCCUAUUUUAAGCCGGGAAGUCCUACAUCCAGAGAACGCCCCCAGACUGGGGCAAACUGGGAACUCUGGUGGCCAUAGAGCCGGGCAUUUGAAGUCCCUUAUCUCACACAUCCUUAUGACGACACUGUGCAUUAGAUGGGUCUGCACAGAGAAGGCACCGGAGACAGACAUGUCGAGUGAGUUUCUCAAGGUCACACGCCAAGUCAGCGGCUAGGGCAAGGCCUACACUUAGGCCUCAUUCUACAAGCGUGCGUUUUUUAUGGGGACACCUCAGAUCUUGCAAAUGCAAGCGGGGAAAGCCCUGCUGAAGAUCCAGAAUGAUGGGCCGUGGCUCCUGGGGUUGGAAAAGGGAGGGCAAAGCCAGGAGGAGGAGGAGGAGCCAGACCUCCAGGAUCUCCAGCUUGGCGUGCUUAAGGAGGAUGGAGGACUUGCCUCGAGGACGCUUGCCGGGGCCUUCUACAAGGAAGGACGCGUGAAACUCCUCCCUCUGGUCCAGCGUGCAGCCCUCGUCCUGCAGCCCAGCCCGUGAGCCUCCUUAUUUGGCACCAGAGGAGCCUCGAUUGCAGACGGGAGAAUUUGCUGGGAGCCCCCCUCACAGGAGCAGCCCGCAUCCCUCUCCCCCUCCGCCCCCAGCCCCAUCCCAACCCAUCCCCUUGUGCUGCCCCAGGGGCUUCCAAAUAGGUUCUCCUUGCCUGUCGGCCAGACCUGCUGGGCCUGGUGAGCAGAGAGAGGGAGAGCUAAUUACUGUUUUCUCUUUUCAGUGCCCGUAGCUCUGCCAAAUGAGGAUCCCCAUUCUGUAGGGACCCUAAUCCUCUACGGGUGCCCGGAGGUGCCGCACGCAGAUUUCCAUCUUGCUCAUUAUCGUGGGCCCUUUUCCAGAACGCGUCCGGUCCUGGCUUCCGGGACUCCGCCUGCCGCGCACACCUGUACUUCCUGUCGCCUGCCUCCUGGAGGAAGGGGUGCUCGGUUUUCCGGGGGUCUCCUGAUCCCCAGAGUGGAGCUGACAGGAAACCAGGCCAGGUCAUUCCAGCGACGUGGCCCGAGGAGCAGGGGCCCUCUUGGGAGUUUCCUCGUUUAAAAAGAAAGGGAUGGCGGAGGACUGGGGCGUCAGUAUCCUGGAGGACAGUGGUCUGGGCCACGCGGAGGCUGGUGGCUACCGUGUUGGAGAAGCGGCAAUGUUCGGUGAGUCCCCGACUCUGCCUGAACCGUCUCUGCAAAAGGUGUCCCUCGGAUGCAGUCACCUGGCCAGCGCCUGCAUCUGCUCCCUGGACCCUUCCAUUAACCCUGCGCUGCGGGGACCCAGCUCCUCUGCUCCACACGUGCUCCUCUCUGGCUUCUGUCCUGCUGAAAACGGACCGCAGAGAAACGAGCAAGAACCUGAAGUCCGACCAAAGCCUGCAGAGGUCUGCAAGGCGCCCAGCUCUUCUGGGAAGCCCGUUCUUUUCGAAGCGGCGCGGAGGUUCCCCGGGCCGCUACGGGCUAUCAGAUACUGUCUUGCGACUGCUCUUUCACUGCUAAUAACUUAAGGGACAGUUUGGGAUUGAUGCAGUAAUGCUGCGGGAGCUCUCGGCCCACAUUUGCUUCCACCAUAGCCUUCCCGUUCGCACGCUGAAAUAUUAGAUGUUCAGUUGGGAGUCCAACAGCAAAAUAUUUCUGAAAUUGUGUGUGUGUGUUUUUCUUCUAAUUUAAUGUGCCAGACAAGCCUCCCUGUAAUUAAAACCAGAAACAAGGACCAGACUUAGACAGAGAUUUGAAGGCUGUAAAAUUCUAGGACAGGUUUAUGUAAAGCAAUUAAAAAGGGAGUUAAAAAUUGUUAAAAAAUUAAACACUAAUUACUUUUUUUUCUCCUCCCAUUUCUGCUGAGCUGUUUUGGCCGUGGAGCUCGAAGGACGAUAUAAAAAGGAGAAAGUUUUGCCUCGUU